AUGACACCUCUGUUAUGGCGUUAUCGGCUUGAGCUAUUUCCAGCCGUAUUUAUGCUUCUCCGAUACUCAAAACAAAAACAGAUGAAUCAACAACAACUCGGUCCUUUAGUCUUCUCAGAGGUGCGUGAGCAUUUCUUGAAUGGAUACUUGUCCGAAAACCCACUUUUAUGGUCUUUAAUUUCUGAGCUUUGGGAUGAAAUUCAUCGACCCAAUUCUUCUUCAAAUGCAGAAAAUUUGUUACUCAAGUGA
Vicia faba (fava bean) is the source of this 249-nucleotide non-coding RNA. Lineage: Eukaryota; Viridiplantae; Streptophyta; Magnoliopsida; Fabales; Fabaceae. The record is from the annotation of a GenBank genome assembly.